GCUCCUCGGAACCUAGAGAUAGGGCUUUCCCUUCGGGGACAGAGUGACAGGUGGUGCAUGGUUGUCGUCAGCUCGUGUCGUGAGAUGUUGGGUUAAGUCCCGCAACGAGCGCAACCCUUGAUCUUAGUUGCCAGCAUUCAGUUGGGCACUCUAAGGUGACUGCCGGUGACAAACCGGAGGAAGGUGGGGAUGACGUCAAAUCAUCAUGCCCCUUAUGACCUGGGCUACACACGUGCUACAAUGGACAGAACAAAGGGCUGCGAGACCGCAAGGUUUAGCCAAUCCCACAAAUCUGUUCUCAGUUCGGAUCGCAGUCUGCAACUCGACUGCGUGAAGCUGGAAUCGCUAGUAAUCGCGGAUCAGCAUGCCGCGGUGAAUACGUUCCCGGGUCUUGUACACACCG
Molecule: ribosomal RNA, 403 nt
Filed under: uncultured bacterium
Lineage: Bacteria
Description: bacterial SSU rRNA
Rfam family: Bacterial small subunit ribosomal RNA
Source: RNAcentral